Molecule: small nucleolar RNA, 75 nt
Filed under: Ursus americanus (American black bear)
Lineage: Eukaryota; Metazoa; Chordata; Mammalia; Carnivora; Ursidae
Source: RNAcentral
UGUCCAAGUAAUGUGUCUGUUAGUGACCAAAACCUGACUUUUGCUGAUUGACAGCAUCCCUAUCCUUAAUAGACC